UACAAAAACCUUUCCAAACACUCUUUCUUACAAGUUUCCUUACUUAGCCAAUUUCACUAGUGAUCCAACGGGACUAUGACGCUAGUGGUCAGCCUGCAUAAGGCUUGAAUGGAUUCAACAUUCAAGACUACUGACUAUAGACGUCCCAAAAUAAGGAUUCGACUAAUAAUUCGUAUUUCCUAAUGACUCUAAUCAACUCCAAUACCCUCUUCUUCAAGACGACUUUGUAAACUUAAUGCAACUUUAGAAAUAAUAUUUCAUAAUACACCAAGAGUCCAAGUUACUUCAGUUCCAACCACGGUGAUCGGAGCCGAUGACUGACCCAUUUUCAAAUUCUGAGUUUGAAUGGUGUGUGUUGGAUUAACAUCUAGAAUGGGGAGUAAAUGCAAAGUACUUGCUUGAUGGGUCUUGUCCAUAUAUCUGCCACGGCGCCUACCAUACUCCCUGUUGCUUAUCACCUAUGCCUCUGUAUAGGCUUUAAUCUCUUUAGCUACCCAACACAUUUUUUUGUAAAGGGAAGGUACGACCAGUGGAUGCAACAUAACGUGCGGCCCGGUCCUUUAGCUUCAAAGAAUACGAGCGGAAGUUUUCUCAUACUACUCCCUCCGAUAUUAAGAACAUUGUCUCAUAUUUUUGUUCAAAAAGUCCGUUAAUUUUUAGACAAAUUUCAUUAUCUUACAACCUUUAAAAGUGAGGAGUUGAUUUAUACUAUUCAUCCAAUAGUGCUAUUACGAUUUUGCCCCCAACUCUAACUCUUUACUACGGUUUUAUCCUCGCUGUUGGAUGGUCCCACGUGUUGGAACUCAUUGAUCUCAGCCAGGUCUGCAAACUAAUGUGCAGAGGCGUAAGACCUACAAGGCUAAACUUGUUGUCUUCCCAAGGCACGCCAGGAAGUUCAAGGCUGGUGAUUCUAUUCCAGAGGAACUAGCAAAUGCUACACAGGUCCAAGGUGAGUUCUUGCCAAUUGAGAAUGUCAAGGUACCAAUGGAUAUUGUCAAUGCCUAUGCUAAGCUUCGUCACGCCAACAAGGUAUUAGACUGAAGUGUCAUCAUCGUCUUCAGGCCGUCAGACUGAAAAUGAUAUCAGAAUAUCAAAAUGUGAACAAUAAAACAAUAUUAAUCAAAGUGGAAAUUUGAGCAGAGACAACGACAUUAUUAACAAA
Spinacia oleracea (spinach) is the source of this 1162-nucleotide long non-coding RNA. RefSeq lists it as uncharacterized. Lineage: Eukaryota; Viridiplantae; Streptophyta; Magnoliopsida; Caryophyllales; Amaranthaceae. The transcript is spliced from 2 exons. The record is from RefSeq and is a predicted model, not a curated record.